CUGCAACUUGACGGAACGGAAAUGUUCAAAAUUACAACAUUAUUGCCUCAGCAGGUAGAGUUUCUUUAAAAAAUUACUUGGGUGGGACAGAACACAGACCUGGAAACGGAGGAAAACUAUGAUGGAAGUCCAGCUUGCUCCAUUUUGUUCUGCAUAUUUGUGCAGUUACUGCAGCUGCAGAAUCAAUACGCUACAAUUGGCCUGACUCUGUGUCUACCUGUGACACCUUUCUGGAGAG
Long non-coding RNA from Girardinichthys multiradiatus, 238 nucleotides. RefSeq lists it as uncharacterized. The transcript is spliced from 3 exons. Lineage: Eukaryota; Metazoa; Chordata; Actinopteri; Cyprinodontiformes; Goodeidae. The record is from RefSeq and is a predicted model, not a curated record.